Passer montanus (Eurasian tree sparrow) is the source of this 308-nucleotide long non-coding RNA. RefSeq lists it as uncharacterized. NCBI's taxonomy places the organism in Eukaryota, Metazoa, Chordata, Aves, Passeriformes, Passeridae. The transcript is spliced from 4 exons. The record is from RefSeq and is a predicted model, not a curated record.
AGAGAAGGACCACAGAAUGUGGCUUGGAGAUGCUUUGAAUAAGCUUUCUUCAAGCACAGACAUAUUCUAUGAAAAUUGAAAACUCUGGAUGGUUCCUAUGAUAAAAGUUGAAAAUGCCACUUGGGGUCUAGGAAACAAUAUUUAAUUUCAAGAAAUUGAAGCACUUCACUCAGGUUCAUCAUGUCAGGGUAAUGCAACAUAAGAAUUCUUACUUACUGGAGGACCAGGUGGACCAGAAGCCUGGAAUAUACACUCCUUGCUUGCAUGGAACUUGAAUGGCACACAGGUAUGUUGUACUCACUGCAUCA